AAUGCUGCGAUGUCAGGAAUGUGGAACUGCGAAUGACUUCGAGCUGGGUGAUGGUACAGGUUACUGCAGAGUGUGUGGUACCCAGUCUCAGGACAUCAGAGAGGAGGUGGUGGAACUGGACGAUACCUUAUUCACCCAACAUAACGCUAGUGUCAGGCGAGUAGCCAAAGGUUUGAACAGCACCAAGACCACUGGGAUCCCGGACAGAAUAUGGACGGUAACAGAAGCCGUACAAGCAAUCCUCCUGAUCCAAACCAACGGUCUCAUCAGUCAAGGAAUCCCAGAGCAGCUAACAAACGUUGUAGGAAACCUCUGGUUCCGGUUCCUUGCUAAGAUCGGAACUAUAAACGUGCCGAAAGUGGAGCCAGUUGUUUUGACUGAUAUCUAUAAGAUCAGUAUUUUUGAUAACUUGGCUAUCCUGUAUUUAUCCCUACUUUCUAUACACUAUCCGGUGCUGUGUUGUGAUAUCCUGAGUUGGAUAGGUGAUGGGACUUUGUGCUAUUUCAACACAAUUCGAUUGUUGCCUGAAAAGAACGUUGUUCAGCGUGGUUCAGUCAGGUCUUGUUUCUGAGCUAGCGUUCGAGCUCCUAGACAAAUAUUACUCCUUGCUACUUGACAAAGAGUGCUCAGUAGAAGCUGUUCUCGGAACAAGCCCUGAAGAACAGUGCGAUAAUCAGAUCUACAAGUUCCAGAUCCUUCUCCUCCUCAACCCCACCUCCUCUCUCCUCGCCACCUCCCACAACCUCAGCACUGAGUUCAAGUAUGACUUCUAUGGUUCUGCCUCCUUGUUUCCCAUCAGGCUUACUUCAUAAUUGUCAUCUACAUUUUUUUUCUUUAAAAAAAAAAGCCUUGUUUGGAUCUUGAAUUCUCGAGGAUCUUAUUUACUUUGUUAACAUUUCUUUGUUUUUUUUUUUUUUAAUGCUUUGUUUGGAUCUUGAAUUCUUGGUGAUCUUUUUAAGCUCUGGUUUGUCGUUAUAAGCUGAUAGAUAAUAUAAGAUCCUAAAGUCAUUCUGAUUACAACUUGUUUUCUUCAAGAAACAAAUUGAUUGAUUCAAAGAUUGAUGUAAAACAAUAAUCUCGCUCCAGACACUUUUAGACUUACCAUCAUCAUCCAAUUAAACCAAGAAAUUUUUAAAAGUUUAGAAUAAUUGAAAUCUCGAACCAUAUUUAUAACAUCAUGGUUUUGAAAUGAAAGACAGCAUUUUUUUCAGGUACUACUAGUCAUAGACAUAGAAAAUGUUCGUUGUUGAUUGAUCUCUAUUGGCUUUUAUCGAUGAAUGCUUAUAUAAAUGACAUUACUUCUUCGUUGAAUUGACAGAUGAUGAAUCAAUUUAGAAUUUCAACAGAAAUUUUAUUGUUGUUUUAACCUUCUUUAACUUGUUGGUGAUUGCUUUUAGAUACAAAAUUAUUAAUUAUAAUAUAGAUUGUUGACGAUUGUUGAUUAAGAUGCAUAAUUUCGUUUCAUACGUUUAGAUAUAAUAUCGAUUUGUAUCAAUUAAUUUAUUAAAUGUGCUGGCCACGAUGUUUUUAUUGCAUGACACACGUUUUAACCAGAAGUACAGAUAUUUACCAUUUUGACCAAUUGAUUAAAUAGUCUACAUUAAAAUGUACACCGCCAAUGUUUUGAAAACCUAAGUUUUGCCUUUUACAGUUACGUUUUAAACCAACUCGUCUGAUUUGGGGUGUUUUACUGUGAAUUUUAUCCGAUGAUAAAUAUUUCUAUUUUGUAUGACAG
RNA transcript from Bolinopsis microptera, 1735 nucleotides. It is a transcript of the gene named TATA box-binding protein-associated factor RNA polymerase I subunit B-like, with no coding region annotated. NCBI's taxonomy places the organism in Eukaryota, Metazoa, Ctenophora, Tentaculata, Lobata, Bolinopsidae. The record is from RefSeq and is a predicted model, not a curated record. The transcript has 4 exons.